This 2906-nucleotide ribosomal RNA is filed under the name Enterobacter hormaechei. Its description in RNAcentral is "23S ribosomal RNA". It matches the Rfam family "Bacterial large subunit ribosomal RNA". The record is from RNAcentral. Lineage: Bacteria; Pseudomonadati; Pseudomonadota; Gammaproteobacteria; Enterobacterales; Enterobacteriaceae.
GGUUAAGCGACUAAGCGUACACGGUGGAUGCCCUGGCAGUCAGAGGCGAUGAAGGACGUGCUAAUCUGCGAAAAGCGCCGGCGAGGUGAUAUGAACCUUUGACCCGGCGAUGUCCGAAUGGGGAAACCCAGUGCAAUCCGUUGCACUAUCGUUAACUGAAUACAUAGGUUAACGAGGCGAACCGGGGGAACUGAAACAUCUAAGUACCCCGAGGAAAAGAAAUCAACCGAGAUUCCCCCAGUAGCGGCGAGCGAACGGGGAGCAGCCCGGAGUCUGAAUCAGCUUGUGUGUUAGUGGAACGGUCUGGAAAGUCCGACGGUACAGGGUGAUAGUCCCGUACACGAAAGCACACAUGCUGUGAACUCGAAGAGUAGGGCGGGACACGUGGUAUCCUGUCUGAAUAUGGGGGGACCAUCCUCCAAGGCUAAAUACUCCUGACUGACCGAUAGUGAACCAGUACCGUGAGGGAAAGGCGAAAAGAACCCCGGCGAGGGGAGUGAAAAAGAACCUGAAACCGUGUACGUACAAGCAGUGGGAGCCUCUUUAUGGGGUGACUGCGUACCUUUUGUAUAAUGGGUCAGCGACUUAUAUUCUGUAGCAAGGUUAACCGUAUAGGGGAGCCGAAGGGAAACCGAGUCUUAACUGGGCGUUAAGUUGCAGGGUAUAGACCCGAAACCCGGUGAUCUAGCCAUGGGCAGGUUGAAGGUUGGGUAACACUAACUGGAGGACCGAACCGACUAAUGUUGAAAAAUUAGCGGAUGACCUGUGGCUGGGGGUGAAAGGCCAAUCAAACCGGGAGAUAGCUGGUUCUCCCCGAAAGCUAUUUAGGUAGCGCCUCGUGAAUUCAUCUUCGGGGGUAGAGCACUGUUUCGGCUAGGGGGCCAUCCCGGCUUACCAACCCGAUGCAAACUACGAAUACCGAAGAAUGUUAUCACGGGAGACACACGGCGGGUGCUAACGUCCGUCGUGAAGAGGGAAACAACCCAGACCGCCAGCUAAGGUCCCAAAGUCAUGGUUAAGUGGGAAACGAUGUGGGAAGGCACAGACAGCCAGGAUGUUGGCUUAGAAGCAGCCAUCAUUUAAAGAAAGCGUAAUAGCUCACUGGUCGAGUCGGCCUGCGCGGAAGAUGUAACGGGGCUAAACCAUGCACCGAAGCUGCGGCAGCGACGCUUAGGCGUUGUUGGGUAGGGGAGCGUUCUGUAAGCCGUUGAAGGUGUCCUGUGAGGGGUGCUGGAGGUAUCAGAAGUGCGAAUGCUGACAUAAGUAACGAUAAAGCGGGUGAAAAGCCCGCUCGCCGGAAGACCAAGGGUUCCUGUCCAACGUUAAUCGGGGCAGGGUGAGUCGACCCCUAAGGCGAGGCCGAAAGGCGUAGUCGAUGGGAAACAGGUUAAUAUUCCUGUACUUGGUGUUACUGCGAAGGGGGGACGGAGAAGGCUAUGUCAGCCGGGCGACGGUUGUCCCGGUUUAAGCAUGUAGGCGGAGGUUCCAGGUAAAUCCGGUACCUUAUUAACGCUGAGGUGUGAUGACGAGGCACUACGGUGCUGAAGUGAUAAAUGCCCUGCUUCCAGGAAAAGCCUCUAAGCAUCAGGUAACACGAAAUCGUACCCCAAACCGACACAGGUGGUCAGGUAGAGAAUACCAAGGCGCUUGAGAGAACUCGGGUGAAGGAACUAGGCAAAAUGGUGCCGUAACUUCGGGAGAAGGCACGCUGAUAUGUAGGUGAAGCCCCUGCGGGCGGAGCUGAAAUCAGUCGAAGAUACCAGCUGGCUGCAACUGUUUAUUAAAAACACAGCACUGUGCAAACACGAAAGUGGACGUAUACGGUGUGACGCCUGCCCGGUGCCGGAAGGUUAAUUGAUGGGGUUAGCGGCAACGCGAAGCUCUUGAUCGAAGCCCCGGUAAACGGCGGCCGUAACUAUAACGGUCCUAAGGUAGCGAAAUUCCUUGUCGGGUAAGUUCCGACCUGCACGAAUGGCGUAAUGAUGGCCAGGCUGUCUCCACCCGAGACUCAGUGAAAUUGAACUCGCUGUGAAGAUGCAGUGUACCCGCGGCAAGACGGAAAGACCCCGUGAACCUUUACUAUAGCUUGACACUGAACACUGGUCCUUGAUGUGUAGGAUAGGUGGGAGGCUUUGAAGCGUGGACGCCAGUCUGCGUGGAGCCAACCUUGAAAUACCACCCUUUAAUGGCUGGUGUUCUAACGUAGACCCGUAAUCCGGGUUGCGGACAGUGUCUGGUGGGUAGUUUGACUGGGGCGGUCUCCUCCCAAAGAGUAACGGAGGAGCACGAAGGUUGGCUAAUCCUGGUCGGACAUCAGGAGGUUAGUGCAAUGGCAUAAGCCAGCUUGACUGCGAGCGUGACGGCGCGAGCAGGUGCGAAAGCAGGUCAUAGUGAUCCGGUGGUUCUGAAUGGAAGGGCCAUCGCUCAACGGAUAAAAGGUACUCCGGGGAUAACAGGCUGAUACCGCCCAAGAGUUCAUAUCGACGGCGGUGUUUGGCACCUCGAUGUCGGCUCAUCACAUCCUGGGGCUGAAGUAGGUCCCAAGGGUAUGGCUGUUCGCCAUUUAAAGUGGUACGCGAGCUGGGUUUAGAACGUCGUGAGACAGUUCGGUCCCUAUCUGCCGUGGGCGCUGGAGAAUUGAGGGGGGCUGCUCCUAGUACGAGAGGACCGGAGUGGACGCAUCACUGGUGUUCGGGUUGUCAUGCCAAUGGCACUGCCCGGUAGCUAAAUGCGGAAGAGAUAAGUGCUGAAAGCAUCUAAGCACGAAACUUGCCCCGAGAUGAGUUCUCCCUGAGACUUUAAGUCUCCUGAAGGAACGUUGAAGACGACGACGUUGAUAGGUCGGGUGUGUAAGCGCAGCGAUGCGUUGAGCUAACCGAUACUAAUGAACCGUGAGGCUUAACCUU